This 1359-nucleotide long non-coding RNA is filed under the name Homo sapiens (human). Its description in RNAcentral is "HSALNT0380517". The record is from RNAcentral. Lineage: Eukaryota; Metazoa; Chordata; Mammalia; Primates; Hominidae.
CACACUCUGAAGCUGCAGCUUUUCCUGGAUUCUCUUCUCAAUGACAAGCUGUUCAAACAGAGAACACCUAUCAAAACGAAUAUCAUCAUCUGCUCCUUUCUUUCUUCCUUUCAGGAUAUACUGCUGUCCAGCAGGGGAAGUAAUUAAUGAGUUUUUUAUGUAUGGCAGCGUCAUCCCAUCAGUUUGCUGUCUGGUUUGAAUAGCUCCUAUCAGCUCUUCAUUCAUGCCAAGUACGCUCACCGUCCAGAGACAUGAUAAAGCCGUACUUCCUUCUGGAUUUUUACCUCACUAUUCAAAAAACAGGGUACCAGAAGCAUGGGUUACAAAAGCAUGAGGAGGACAGAAGAAAUGCCUUCAUCUUCUACAGAAAGGAAGCUGAUGGACUGAAAAGUUCGUAUGGAGAAAGGAAAGCAAGAGUGCAAGAACAUCCAUGCUUCUAGUCCAGAUAAUGUUUUUUAAAGCAGCUUGAUUUGGAAGCGUGUGUAAUUCUGAAAUACGAACAAGCAGAACUUUUCCAGGGGGUCAAAUGCAUAUAGGAACAACCAGGAUUUCUCAUUGCUGAAGCAUUCAAUGAAUCUUUAAUAAGUUCUCAACACUCAGAUUGUUUGUGAUCAGAUCAACUGCUGUUACCAGAUAAAGGCAAAACUCACCCUUCUGGUUCUAUAAUCCUAUCCAAAUGGAGUCUUCAUCUACCGCAUACUAUCCUAACUAAUGCUACAGGAUUAUCAGGAAUACAGAUAUAAAGACACUGCAAGAAAUAAAACACUGGCAAAAUAAAACAUGAAAGGAAAGUAGAGAAGGCAUUUUGGGUCUCGAAGCUUACUAUUUCCAGCCAGAGUUCAAAUUACUGAGCUUCAAACAAACCACUGCCAGGGUGAAAAAAAAAUUGAAAACUGCUUCAAGUUUACAUCUCAUGGGUACAAAUGGAUGAGGGAUUUUAUGCUAGUACCUGAAGAUUUGGUUUAUUUAUAACAACUUUUCCCUGUUAUUGAUAGAUUUAACAAUUAAAGAGAUUCUGAACAGUCUUGGGAUGUAGUCAAUGACCUGCCUACUUGUUUCUGCAAUUUAGAAUGUAUUUCAUUCACACAUAUUAUAUAAAAGUAUUAUAUUGUAAAAGUAAUGUGAUUGUGUAUCAUUAGUUCCUUUCAUAGAAAUGGAGCAAAUAUUUUGGCUGCCAUAUCCUUAUAAUAAUACCUAUUGCUAUAUCCUUAAAUUCUGGUCAUUUUAAAUUAUCCAAAAGCUAUAAGCUUUUUAUUUAAACUAUGAUAAAAUAAAAAUGGCAUCUAGGUCAAAAUGAACACAUCCAUUUCGUGUAUGUUGACAUAACAAUCUUAAAAAGUAAUUUUUGUCUGAAAUACC